GUAUGGCUCAAAUGGAAUGAAAUCCUUUAUGCGUGCACCUAAAUUUGCAAUAGAGCAAAUCUAUCCAACUGUCUGAGGUAGCUAAUCAGUUUAAUAAUCUAAUAAUUAGCACUCCCAAAUGGUAUAGCAAAAAAAAAAAAACAACACCAUUUGGCUUAUUGCAUAUGUGUGAGAUCGAAUAUUUUAAUUAUUGGGAUUCUGUGGGCUCCUGCUCUCUGUUUGGGAAGGAUGGUGGUAUUCUCUUUCCUGUUGAUUAGACAAACAGUCAUCAAAUGAAGGCAUCUCUGAGGUCAUGCAUAUUGAAGAAGGCAUUUAGCAUGUUCCUCAAAAUGUGUGUUCAGUUGCUCUGUGAAAAGAUAGAGACUUGGCCUCACCCAUCUCAACUGGUAGCUGUUGUGUGAUAAGUGAUAAGUAGUUAGUGUGUGAGAAUUGGCAAUGACCAAAUGGGAGAAAAUGGGAUAUGAUAAUCCAUCCAUCAUGGGGAGCCUGGAGCUUAUCCCAGGGAACUCAGGGCACAAGGCAGGGGACACCCUGGUCUGGGUGCCAACCCAUCUUAGGGCACAAUUGCAUACACAUUAACACUCUAUGGACAAUUUGGAAUUUGCCAAUAAGCCUAUAACACAUCUUUGGACUGAGAAAGGAAACCAAAGUACCCAGAGGAAACCACCAAAGCAUGGGAAGAACUUGCAAACUCCACGCACACAGGGCAGAGGCAGGAUGCAAACCCCCAACCCCGGAGGUGCGAGGCAAACGUGCUAACCACUAAGUCACCAUGCUCCUGAGAAGAAGAAGAAGAAGGAGAAGAAGGAGAAGAAGAAGAAGAAGAAGGAGAAGAAGGAGAAGAAGAAGAAGACGACGACAAGACAUGUAAACCUCUGAAUCUGGGUAAUCCAACAGUUGGUAUAUUUGCAUAAGUUCUGAGCAUCAAAAUGCACACCAACAUGGCUAGGAAUGGGGGAGAUUUAGCACACAUUUCACAUACGACUGGUACUUGAACUCAAUUUUAAAGUAAAUUUAUGCGUAUCUGAGGUCACAGUAUUGGGACACAUAUUGUACUCACUGUAUACGCGUAUAUAAUCUUUGCAAUUCAAAUUGAUUGAUUAAAAUUAGGGCAAGAGGCCACAAAGUGCACCAGUCAUAGACUUUCUUAGUUCGUUGGUAUUUUGGGAUAUGCCACAAUUUUCACACUAGCUUUCCACCUGAAUCAGAUUACCAUUAUAUCUUUCUUAAGGAAUUCACUAAUGCUUGGUUCUCUGGCUAAUCAGUAUUUCUGAAACUUGUCAAGUGCUAUUUAAUGCUGCAUAUGACACAACUUUCAUCUCUCUUUAAUUAGAAUCCCUGCCUGUUUCAUCUUUUUUUUUGUUUCUUCCCUUAAAUGAAAAAUCAGCUCCACAGGAACCUUCUAGAAGAUUCACAGGGAACAGUAUAGUGUGUUAGCUGCUGAUAUCCAUAGAUGUACAGUAGGUAACUGGCUUUAUCACUGAUGCUGUCUGCACACACUGCUGUGCCUUUAUGAUAAAUAAUGUCUGUGACUUUGUAUGUAUGUUUGUGUCAUGGGGUUUAGAGUGUCCUUACAACACACCGUUGACAUAACAUGUGGCAUGCCAGCGGCAUACUGACGGUAUGACCAGCGCCUUGCUUGUUAGAAGUCCAGCCAAACCCCUGAGGAGGCCGAACGCCAGGAAAUAAGAGACACAAGCUGUUGCAUCAGAGAAUGGAAGAUGCCAGAAAGCCAGCAUACACUGCUGUAUGAGGUGUCUUGUCUGGUCUGAAAGACUCCUUCUCUCCCAUAAACAUAAUUUACAUACCAUUAGUGAUCCCACAGAAUAUACUGAUGCAGGUUCAUUAUGCUCAAACCUGGAAAGACUCAAGCCUUGGUUCAUAUUUCAUUUACUGGUGUUGGUUUUACUAGUUGUGGACUGUCAGAAUUUAUUUAUUUAAAGCUGAAAUUUAAUGAGAAUCAUUCUUUGAAAUGAUGAACAAACCUGAUCACAUUAAGAAUUUGUAGGAAUCAACAUGAGGUGAUAACUUCCACAAAAUGCAUAUGCUAAGCAUGAUAAACUCUAAUCUUAAUCAUUCAAGUUGGGUGGGGAAAUUUCAUAUGAAUUGGCAACCAUAAAUAGGGGGUGGAAGCCUGCAUUUUUCUUUUAUAACACAACACCACAAAUACUACAUAUAUCAACUUAUUUGGUUUGGAAAACUAACAUUUUUUAACAUACUAGGAAUAUAUCUUUAGGACCAGUCAGAGUAAAUGAAAAUAAGAAUUACCUGUUGAAAAAAAAAUACUGGAAAAGAACAUAAAAAUGCUUCUGGAAAAAGUUUCAUUUGUGAGUUCAUUCAGGUGAACGUUAAUCCCAGGAAAAAUGAAAUGAGACAGUACAGAUGGAAAUGGAAUAAUGAGACAGUACAAAACAAGAGGUUGGUCAGCAAAAUGGUGGAUCCAUAGACAAUCCUGGGAACACUGUGCACAAGGUGGGAACACAUCCUGCAUGCCAGAUCAUUGGAGGACACCAUGCAUGCACAAGCACACUGACACACUCAAGUUCAUAUCUAGGGGCAAUUUAUCAUGGCAAUCCACCUACUGACAUGUUUUUGCUAGGAGAGUGAAAACUAGAGAAUGUGGAGGAAACCCACAUGGACACAAGGAGAACAUACAAAACUCCAUCACAACUGCAAGAGUCUAAUUAACAUUCUAGCCAAUGCAAGCUGUUCAGUGAGCCACAUCAAAUCACACCAAGACUGUCCAAAAUCCGAUUUUUGCUCCGUUCGCCAAAGACGAAAGUAGCAAGUCUUAUUGUGACCACCUGCAUAGGCCUCACUUUAACCAUUCAUAAGGUUUAUGUAUGAGCGUAUUUGGCUAACAUAUUUGCUUUAUAGGAUAGCUCAUUCCAUGGCCUGAUUGUGCAAGGAUCUGGUGAAUAUCACUUGUUGUUCUGUUACAGGCUGAGGAUAGACUGAUGUAACCAGUGCACCAAAGUAACAGUGUUGGAAAGAUGCCACUCAGAAACAUGGCAGAGCCAAGGUCAGAUCACAUGUUAGCUUCAUUUUGUUGUUGUUGUUGCUUAUGCUCAGUGGCACAGUACACAGACAGUAAAGUGAAAGGAAAGCAAAUAAAACCUGCCACUUCUUUUGCCCAGCUCUCGGCCACAUCCACACAAAAAGAUCACUGCUUAGAGAGAGAAACAGAGAAAGAAAAUGAGAGCUCACAUGAAUAUUUGUGGGAAGAUAGGGCUCAUUUUUACCAUGUUAGUAAUUCCCAUCUAGCUUGUGCCCCAAACUCCAUCCUUCCACUGCAGACUCCCACUACUAACUACACCCCUACCUGCUACAAAGAAAUGUAUAGAAAUUUAAGCAGCUUUCCAAAAAAUAUUUUCAAGCCAGCAUGAACUUUUUUUUUUUUUUUUUUUUAGCUUUUUGCUCAAAAA
Ictalurus punctatus (channel catfish) is the source of this 3425-nucleotide long non-coding RNA. The record is from Ensembl. Lineage: Eukaryota; Metazoa; Chordata; Actinopteri; Siluriformes; Ictaluridae.